RNAcentral lists this ribosomal RNA (492 nucleotides) under uncultured bacterium. RNAcentral's name for it is "partial 16S ribosomal RNA". It matches the Rfam family "Bacterial small subunit ribosomal RNA", at positions 29 to 507 of the family's 1533-position model. The record is from RNAcentral.
AGUGAACGCUGGCGGUAGGCCUAACACAUGCAAGUCGAACGGCAGCACAGUAAGAGCUUGCUCUUACGGGUGGCGAGUGGCGGACGGGUGAGGAAUACAUCGGAAUCUACUUUUUCGUGGGGGAUAACGUAGGGAAACUUACGCUAAUACCGCAUACGACCUACGGGUGAAAGCAGGGGAUCUUCGGACCUUGCGCGAUUGAAUGAGCCGAUGUCGGAUUAGCUAGUUGGCGGGGUAAAGGCCCACCAAGUCGACGAUCCUUAGCUGGUGUGAGAGGCUGAUCAGCCACACUGGAACUGAGACAAGGUCCAGACUCCUACGGAAGGCAGCAGUGGGGAAUAUUAGACAAUGGGCGCAAGGCUGAUCCAGCCAUACCGCAUGGGUGAAGAAGGCCUUCGGGUUGUAAAGCCCUUUUGUUGGGAAAGAAAAGCAGCAGGUUAAUACCCCGCUGUUCUGACGGUACCCAAAGAAUAGGCACCGGCUAACUUCGUG